ACAAUGAAGAGUUUGAUCCUGGCUCAGGAUGAACGCUAGCUACAGGCUUAACACAUGCAAGUCGAGGGGCAUCAGGAAGAAAGCUUGCUUUCUUUGCUGGCGACCGGCGCACGGGUGAGUAACACGUAUCCAACCUGCCCUUUACUCGGGGAUAGCCUUUCGAAAGAAAGAUUAAUACCCGAUAGCAUAAUGAUUCCGCAUGGUUUCAUUAUUAAAGGAUUCCGGUAAAGGAUGGGGAUGCGUUCCAUUAGGUUGUUGGUGAGGUAACGGCUCACCAAGCCUUCUGAUGGAUAGGGGUUCUGAGAGGAAGGUCCCCCACAUUGGAACUGAGACACGGUCCAAACUCCUACGGGAGGCAGCAGUGAGGAAUAUUGGUCAAUGGGCGCUAGCCUGAACCAGCCAAGUAGCGUGAAGGAUGAAGGCUCUAUGGGUCGUAAACUUCUUUUAUAUAAGAAUAAAGUGCAGUAUGUAUACUGUUUUGUAUGUAUUAUAUGAAUAAGGAUCGGCUAACUCCGUGCCAGCAGCCGCGGUAAUACGGAGGAUCCGAGCGUUAUCCGGAUUUAUUGGGUUUAAAGGGAGCGUAGGUGGACUGGUAAGUCAGUUGUGAAAGUUUGCGGCUCAACCGUAAAAUUGCAGUUGAUACUGUCAGUCUUGAGUACAGUAGAGGUGGGCGGAAUUCGUGGUGUAGCGGUGAAAUGCUUAGAUAUCACGAAGAACUCCGAUUGCGAAGGCAGCUCACUGGACUGCAACUGACACUGAUGCUCGAAAGUGUGGGUAUCAAACAGGAUUAGAUACCCUGGUAGUCCACACAGUAAACGAUGAAUACUCGCUGUUUGCGAUAUACAGUAAGCGGCCAAGCGAAAGCAUUAAGUAUUCCACCUGGGGAGUACGCCGGCAACGGUGAAACUCAAAGGAAUUGACGGGGGCCCGCACAAGCGGAGGAACAUGUGGUUUAAUUCGAUGAUACGCGAGGAACCUUACCCGGGCUUAAAUUGCAGUGGAAUGAUGUGGAAACAUGUCAGUGAGCAAUCACCGCUGUGAAGGUGCUGCAUGGUUGUCGUCAGCUCGUGCCGUGAGGUGUCGGCUUAAGUGCCAUAACGAGCGCAACCCUUAUCUUUAGUUACUAACAGGUUAUGCUGAGGACUCUAGAGAGACUGCCGUCGUAAGAUGUGAGGAAGGUGGGGAUGACGUCAAAUCAGCACGGCCCUUACGUCCGGGGCUACACACGUGUUACAAUGGGGGGUACAGAAGGCAGCUAGCGGGUGACCGUAUGCUAAUCCCAAAAGCCUCUCUCAGUUCGGAUCGAAGUCUGCAACCCGACUUCGUGAAGCUGGAUUCGCUAGUAAUCGCGCAUCAGCCACGGCGCGGUGAAUACGUUCCCGGGCCUUGUACACACCGCCCGUCAAGCCAUGGGAGCCGGGGGUACCUGAAGUACGUAACCGCAAGGAUCGUCCUAGGGUAAAACUGGUGACUGGGGCUAAGUCGUAACAAGGUAGCCGUACCGGAAGGUGCGGCUGGAACACCUCCUUU
This 1530-nucleotide ribosomal RNA is filed under the name Bacteroides fragilis. RNAcentral describes it as "bacterial SSU rRNA". It matches the Rfam family "Bacterial small subunit ribosomal RNA". Lineage: Bacteria; Pseudomonadati; Bacteroidota; Bacteroidia; Bacteroidales; Bacteroidaceae. The record is from RNAcentral.